CCAGGAACAACUGCAAACCAGAGCCCACUGCUGGGAAUGUCCCAAGGUGCAGCCUCCCGAGAGGACCAUCACAGGCCCUGCGGAGUUGUUCAGAACCCCAACUCUCUGUAAGAAUGGCGGGGGUUGGGCACGAAGUAUCCUCAAAACCAAUUCCUCAUUCCUGGUGCUCCUCAUGCCUCAAACCCUGUGCCUAUUACCCUCUUGUCCACAGCUGGCUGGCUACCCCCUGAACUACUGGGUCUCUGGACCCAUUGUGCCCAGCCACCCCCAAAAGCCCUCAGGCUAGAGCUGCCUGAGGAGGAAAGGAGAAAGAUUGAAGUUCCAAGUGAGAUCGAGGUCCCGAGGGAGGCCCUGGAGCCCAGUGUUCCCCUUAUGGAGCCUUCAGAGCUCUCCCUAGAGGCAGCUGAAGAGGAGAAGACCCGCAUCAGCCUCAUCCCACCAGAAGAACGGUGGGCCUGGCCUGAGGUGGAGCAGCCAGAACUUCCUGCAUUGCCCGUGGUGCCUGAACUCCCUGAGGUGCCCAUGGAGAUGCCUUUGGUGCUGCCC
This 546-nucleotide small RNA is filed under the name Pongo abelii (Sumatran orangutan). RNAcentral's name for it is "retained intron". Lineage: Eukaryota; Metazoa; Chordata; Mammalia; Primates; Hominidae. The record is from RNAcentral.